CAGCCGCCGCGGUAAUACGUAGGGUGCAAGCGUUAAUCGGAAUUACUGGGCGUAAAGCGUGCGCAGGCGGUUUGUUAAGACAGAUGUGAAAUCCCCGGGCUUAACCUGGGAACUGCAUUUGUGACUGGCAAGCUAGAGUGUGGCAGAGGGGGGUGGAAUUCCGCGUGUAGCAGUGAAAUGCGUAGAUAUGCGGAGGAACACCGAUGGCGAAGGCAGCCCCCUGGGCCAACACUGACGCUCAUGCACGAAAGCGUGGGGAGCAAACAGGAUUAGAUACCCCAGUAGUCCCUGUCUCUUAUAC
RNAcentral lists this ribosomal RNA (301 nucleotides) under uncultured bacterium. RNAcentral's name for it is "partial 16S ribosomal RNA". It matches the Rfam family "Bacterial small subunit ribosomal RNA", at positions 509 to 807 of the family's 1533-position model. The record is from RNAcentral.